AAGUCAUAACAAGGUCUCCGUAGGUGAACCUGCGGAGGGAUCAUUAGAGAUGUCCUUAUGGGCUUUUUGAUUAUACACACCGUGAACCGUUUCUAAUGGGUUAGCCCAUUAGUCCAAGGAAGGUUGGAAGGCUUAGGCUGGAAGACCCCCUUGACCAUUACUACAAGUCAUGAACGUAAAUACCAUAAUGAAAUACAACUUUCAACAACGGAUCUCUUGGCUCUCGCAUCGAUGAAGAACGCAGCGAAUUGCGAUAAGUAAUGUGAAUUGCAGAAUUCAGUGAAUCAUCGAAUCUUUGAACGCACCUUGCACCUUUUGGUACUCCGAAAGGUAUGCCUGUUUGAGUGUCUUAAACCUCUCACCUCUUGAUGAUUUGAUUAUCGUCUUGGGCGUGGAUUUGGGCGUCUGCCUGGUGAAUAACCGAUGGCUCGCCUUAAAUGUCUUAGUGAGUUUGAUUAGCUCUAUUGGACGUAAUAAGUUAUUCGUCUGAUGCUCUUGUCGCUUGCUUACAACCCUCUUACUAUUGUAAGACUAUAUCUUAAGAUUGGACCUCAAAUCAGGUAGGACUACCCGCUGAACUUAA
Molecule: ribosomal RNA, 583 nt
Filed under: uncultured fungus
Lineage: Eukaryota; Fungi
Description: eukaryotic LSU rRNA
Rfam family: 5.8S ribosomal RNA (bases 197-350)
Source: RNAcentral